Non-coding RNA from Danio rerio (zebrafish), 850 nucleotides. NCBI's taxonomy places the organism in Eukaryota, Metazoa, Chordata, Actinopteri, Cypriniformes, Danionidae. The record is from Ensembl.
GUGCACACAAGACGCCAUUUUGGAUUAUCUACAUGAGAUUUGAACUGCGUGCCUCUGUUUGAAACUCCAAGGUACUUACAAGAAAGGAUAAUUGGAUAAUUUGGAUAUUUUCAACGAGGAUCCGACCGUGUGAAUGUCUUGAGAAGAGAAAGGGGGUAACUUUAGCCUAAUUUAGCAAGCUAACGAUAGCUGGAGGACUCAUUUUCCCAUCACACACAGAUGUCUGCCACCACUGCUAAUCUUGGAAAGAUGGGUAACCUGCCUAUGACUCCUCAUUUGAUUCUGCCUGGUUCAGAUGAUACUUUGGGCCAGUGGAUAAAGCAAUGGAUGGUCAGCAUGGAAGGCAGAGUAAUCUGUGAGGGUGAGCAUGCACACUGGAAUUCCUUCAAAGAUGCUUUGCUGGCAUAAAUCCAGAGAGGGGAACCAAGGCUGUGAGAGGAAAUGUGACGUCAAAAAAAACUGGCAACACAGUUCAGAAGAAGACCACGACUGUAAACCCCAAGGUUUCAAACCUUUUGAAGAAACUAAUGGACUUUGAAUGGGACAUUAUUUAAAAUGCAGCUAGCUUGCACCCCCCUACUUUUGCAACACAGAGGCCUUUUUUUCUUUAUUUGCUGAAGCUCAUUUUGGGCCUAUAUAUUUUUAUAUUUUAUAUCCAAGACUAAAUUGUAAAGUGGCUAUUUAUUAAUUUAUUCUAUGACAUUCGGUAAGUUGCUUCUUGUUGUAAAAUGCUGAAUAUGAUCUUAACAUUUCUGGAGAACUUACAAUUUUUGCCUGUUCUUUGGCUUAAUAUUUUCACAAACACAAUGCAGAUUUUAUUUUGUGUUGUUUGAAAAUAAAAAUGUGAAAU